UACGUAGGGUGCAAGCGUUAAUCGGAAUUACUGGGCGUAAAGCGUGCGCAGGCGGUUUUGUAAGUCAGAUGUGAAAUCCCCGGGCUUAACCUGGGAACUGCGUUUGAAACUACAAGGCUAGAGUGUGACAGAGGGGGGUGGAAUUCCACGUGUAGCAGUGAAAUGCGUAGAGAUGUGGAGGAACACCGAUGGCGAAGGCGGCUACCUGGACCGGUUCUGACGCUGAGGCGCGAAAGCGUGGGUAGCAAACAGG
RNAcentral lists this ribosomal RNA (253 nucleotides) under uncultured bacterium. RNAcentral describes it as "partial 16S ribosomal RNA". It matches the Rfam family "Bacterial small subunit ribosomal RNA", at positions 524 to 776 of the family's 1533-position model. The record is from RNAcentral.